RNAcentral lists this unclassified non-coding RNA (271 nucleotides) under Glomeraceae sp. Its description in RNAcentral is "partial contains 5.8S ribosomal RNA and internal transcribed spacer 2". The stretch from base 1 to 65 matches the Rfam family "5.8S ribosomal RNA", at positions 84 to 154 of the family's 154-position model. The record is from RNAcentral. Lineage: Eukaryota; Fungi; Glomeromycota; Glomeromycetes; Glomerales; Glomeraceae.
GUGAAUCAUCGAAUUUUUGAACGCAAAUUGCACUCUCCUCGGAGGGUAUGCGUGUUUGAGGGUCAGCCUAUAAAAAAUCGACAUCGUUGCUGUUUCGUGGUGGUGUUCGUCGGAAAUUGGGUCAUCUUAAAUCUUUUGGUUUUAAGAGACUUAAAAUUUUCUUUUUGGUUCCAUGAACGUUUCUAAGAUUUAUUUUUUUACACGUUUAAGGUAUCGAUUUUUAUUAGAUGUGACCAUAAUAUCUGGUGUAGCCUAUAAUUUUUCAUUAACU